This 753-nucleotide long non-coding RNA is filed under the name Homo sapiens (human). RNAcentral describes it as "HSALNT0290107". The record is from RNAcentral. Lineage: Eukaryota; Metazoa; Chordata; Mammalia; Primates; Hominidae.
CCUAAGCCCCAGUGAUCUGCUGGCCUCGGUCUCCCAAAAUGUUGGGAUUACUGGCGUGAGCCACUGCACCGGCCCAGAAACAGAAUUUUGACGGUGGAACUUAAAACACUUCCCUGCACUUCCUAAAAUUAGAUUCAUUUGGCAACUGGAGGAAGACAAACGUAAAAGACACUCUGUUUCAGAAAAGAAGUUGUAGAGCCCUUUAAAAAAAAUGUCUGAAAGCUCAGUUUAGUAUCUCAACAUGUUAGAAAUGAAAGGUACAGUGCAGAGUGCCGCCCCUCUUCGCUGCCUGGUACAGAAAAAAUAUUCAGUAUUUGUUGGAUGGAUGAAAUUGUAUGUAAAGGAAGAGGGGAAAAGUGAGGGCAGCUAAAUGCAGAAAGACCGAAAUAUAUUUGUCGGACAGUGACGGCUUUUAGGAAUGUGGAAACACUAGUCUGAAUUUCUCAAUCUUCUGCUGUGGUUCUCCACAUACGGCGCAGAACAAAAGAUGGAGGUCCUCUAGCUCAAGAAUUCUACAAACAGAGAUUUGCUGAGCUAAUGGAGUUUGACAGUAUCUACUUUGUGUGUGUCAAUGGACAACCAUUAGAGAUGAAUUCUACAGAGAGGCUUGCUCAGGCUGGACAAUUAGUAAGAAGACAAAGCAUUUUGAUAAAAAAAUCUGAUCAGAAGAACUGGUCUUGGCUUGAGCAAUCUAAAGACCUAAUCCUUAACAUUGUAUUAUCCGAUUUUAUAAAGUGCUUCUUGGGGAAUGCA